Leopardus geoffroyi (Geoffroy's cat) is the source of this 1986-nucleotide long non-coding RNA. RefSeq lists it as uncharacterized. NCBI's taxonomy places the organism in Eukaryota, Metazoa, Chordata, Mammalia, Carnivora, Felidae. The transcript has 3 exons. The record is from RefSeq and is a predicted model, not a curated record.
CAGUUGUGAGGUCCCGGGAAAGGUCCCUGAUCUUUCCAAACCUCAGUGUCCAUGUCUAUAUAUCAGGGCCUGUAGCACUGACACCUCAGAGCCACGGGCAGGCAGAGUGCGUGAGUCACAGCAGCACCCUGCAUGGGCACGCCUGGAAAAUAAGGGCCCCAAGAGAGUGGUUGUCCAUGGUUGAUACUGGCCUUUUCCAUGUGAGACAGGAGGUUGAGUGCCACAGUGGUGAAUCAAGAUCUCAUUUUAAGCCCAAGAGGAGCCAUUUUCAAGGAUCUCGUGUGGAGAGUCCUUUGAGCAGAUGUUUUGCCACGUGGUGGUGCCCACUAGAUGAUGCCCUGGUUCUCUCUGGCCUCAGAAUCUGGACUCUGACAAACUCUCCUGUUCAGAUGUAUCCACACAACAAAAUCUUCAGGCUUUUUUUUUCUUUUUUUUUUUUUAAAUAUAACUUGGACUUCCAUUUUGAGAGAGUUUGAGCCUUACCCUGGAAUGAAAUUAUACACAGCCUAUUAUGUACUUAACACAAUCAUAAUUGGGUUUAAUUGUUCUGAAGCACCACAUCAGUGAUUAUGUGAGAACGGUGACUGAGGCAGCUGGGAGCAGAAUCCCCAUGCUGGUCUGGUUUGGUUUCUUGUUCACCUUUCCUGACUGAUGGCUGCUUACGUGGCCAACCCCACUGGCCCAGUUGCCAAAUAUAAACUUCUGAUUGAUCUGGUUGGACUUGGUGGGGUACAAAGAGAGAACAACUUUAAUUUCUUUCCCCCAACCAUUCCCUUCAGCUGGUUAUAUGGUCCCUUACCAUCCCUGGAUCAUGUCCUGUGUGGAUCCAACAGCUUUCCUGUCAGUAUCUGGUGUUGGAAGAGUCUCCUUUUCCUGUAUUACAAACUCUCCCCUGAUCAAAAUCAAUCUAAAUUUCUCACCAAAUUCGAAAUGUUUGUCUCCCGCUCAGCUCCGUUCAGCUCAGAGUAAGCCCUGUGAUGUCUUCCCCUCGCUGGAGGCUGCCAGUGGCCUCUGCUAGGCUGGGCAGGAAGGUGAGAUGAAGAAAAAGAGGACAUCAGUGCCCUCUGGGUGGCAUUAUGAUCGUUUUCAAGGGCAGUGUGAAGAUCGAACUAUUCUUUACAAGUCAGGUGGCACAUAGCAAGCUUUCAGUAAACGGGAACAACAUCUGAAUUUCUGAGGAGUCGUCUCACUUCCUCCAACUAGAUUGGAUGUCAGUUCGUCUUGCUAGUCCAGAGAUGGCUUCCUGCCACCAUCUGCCUGGCCUGCAGGGCUCUCUUUGAUGACACUUAGCCAAUCUUGAGCGCCAUUAUCUUAUUUACUCCUGACAACGGAUCCUACAGAAUAGGUGUUAUUAUCGCUCCCAUUUACAGGUAACAAAACCGAAGCUCACAGAGUUUGAGUCAUUUGCACAGGGUCAAAUAGUUUGUAAAUAGCAGAACUGGGAUUUAACCCAGGCUUGUGUGAUUCCAAAGCCUGCAUGAGUCCUACCACUCACGUUACUCCGUGACCUCCUUGUCCUUUGUCCUGUCUUUGUUCCCUCUGCCAAUGACUCUCUUCACUCUGGACAUAAUAGGGCAUCUCUUUGAGCUAAGUCACUUCCUGCUUGGAGUGCACCCUGGAAAUGAGUCCCCCAGUGCUCAGUAGAAUGACACUUCCUGUGUUGCAUCAUAAUAAGUCCCCACAGCAGCCACUUUGGUAAUACUGACUCCCUCCAUUUUCUUUCCACUAUUAUUUAAACUAUGUAAAGUUGCGUUUUCACGAAAAGCAUCCAGUUAGCAUCGCUCCAGCAUCAAUGUCGUGCCCAACACUGGAUUAGUCAUGAAGCAAAUGAAGCACUUCUGACCCGUCGUCUCAGUCACCAUUACAAGCUACAAAGACUCUUCAUGAUAAAUCACAGAGGUGAGGGGAAGAGGUGGUUACAAGAACAACAUCACCAGUAUCUUUCAAAUACAUUAAGAGCUGAAGCUUGUGUCACAUAAUGAGUCA